UGUUCAGAAAAAAAAACAAAAAUGACUCUGUACAAAGCAUUAGUUAAGCACACUAGCUUUAUAUUAAAUAUAUGGACUGCAGAGUAUGGGCAAUGAUGAAGACCAAUAAAAAAGGUUAUGGUUUUUGAAAAAUAAAAAAAUAUUGAGAAAAAUACUUAUAUUCUUUCCAAGAAUGCCCGAUGGGUAGGCUACUAAUGUAGGUGAAAAAUUGGGAAGGUAGGAUAUAUAUAGAAGAAUUUAAUUUUUAUCUGUACAUAACAAUAAACUGUUCCUAAAGUGGACAAAUGAGUCUGAACGAAGUUUC
This is a non-coding RNA of Cinara cedri, 304 nucleotides long. NCBI's taxonomy places the organism in Eukaryota, Metazoa, Arthropoda, Insecta, Hemiptera, Aphididae. The record is from the annotation of a GenBank genome assembly.